GGGACUCAGCAGACCUGCAGCUUUCUGGCAAAAACUGAACGCUGCUUCUUCAUGUUUAGUUCUGGCCCUGGAAACAGAAAGUAAACCCGUCCCAGACGACCUGAGGGUUCGUGGCGGUUCAUAAGGUAUCAGCAGAUCAGAAAUGUGCUUUGGCCCCAAACCAUUCAGUGCUUUAUAAACCAGCAGCAAGAUUAAGUUUUUCCAAAUGUGGUUUAUAACAUAAAUCCUCUAAUCCAUGAUAUAUUCUUUAGGUGAUAACAGGGUGAUUUUGUAACUAACUUGAUAUGAAUGUUCAGGUUGAGGUUUGAAUCUGAUAGAUUUCUACCUUGGUUUGUGGUUUUUAACAUUUUAACAGUGAUUGAAGCUCAGCGCUGACUUUCAAUCGUUCAUCCUUGUUACCAAAAACAAUUACUUCUGUUUUAUCUUUGUUUAAUUGAAGAAAGUUUUGACACAUCAAUUUGUUGACUUGUUCAAUGCAUUUACCCAGACCCUGCAUUGUACUGUGGUCCCCUGGUGAUAUAGUUAUAUAGAUUUGCGUUUCAUCUGCAUAACUAUGAUAACACACUUUGUUGUUCUCUAUAAUCUGAGUCAAUGGAAGCAUGUAGAUGUUGAUCAGAAGGGGCCCCAGUAUUGAACCUUGGGGGACACCACAUGUAAUUUUCUUCAGCUCUGAUGUUUAAUUAGAUACCGACACAAAGUAUUUUCAGUCUGUCAAGUAGGAUUUACACCAGUUAAGUGCUGUGCCAGAGAGUCCCACCCAGUUGAUUAGUCUAUCCAGUAGUAUGUCAUGGUUGACUGUGUCAAAUGCUGCGCUGAGAUCUAGUAAUACUUAGACUGAAAUUCUGCCAUUGUCUGUGUUCAAGUGGAUCUCGUUGAAAACCUUUAGAGCACUUUCAGUACUGUGGUGCUGUUGAUAGUGAUGUUACACAUCAAAUUAAACAGCAGAACCAGGGCUAGAAGUAAAUGCACGCUACAUUUAACGUACAUGCUCCAACACAACUCAAAAACGAAUGACUAAAUUUUUAUAACUCACACGAGAGACAAUUGGACAACAGAGGUUAUGCGUCAACCUAUUGUUCGCAAGCCCGACCUUCCCCAUGAAACUCCUCUGCUGAUCCUCGUUGGAUAACAGUGCUCAAUUCUUUAGAGUGUAACGAUUUCAAUGAGGUGUCAACCUGCUUGUUUUGCAGCCUUUUCUAUUACUUCCAAAAUGUCUGAACAAAGUCCUAAGCCUUCAUUUCAUUUUUUGUGGUUAUUUUUAAAAUAUAUAUAAUUUCAUACAUGAUCCGAUUCAAAUGGCACAGAGGACGAAAAUGUGCCCAAAUGGUCAUUUUGGAAACCUCGCCUUGACCGCCCGUAAGAAGCGCAUCUCUAAAAGUGUGUCCUUCACUUUAUCAAAAUUAUCCUUUGCAGAGAGAAUUUUGAAGGUAAAACAUUAUUAUUCCAAUGAGAUCAUCCGAAAUGUGCUCAUAUUUUUUAGAGAGAUUUCAAGCUGUUUUCUUGUUUCCACAUUGGGAUUUAACCCAAUAAACGGACCGUGCACCUUCUACAUCAUUGAAGACGUAGACGGUGCAUGGUCAUCAGGACGGCCUUGGCUACCUCCUUGUCCUCUCGUGUUAGACUGAGGACUGAUAACCAGGUAGAAUUUGUAUUUCAAGAAAGGUUGAGCCAGUGCUAGCUGGU
Molecule: long non-coding RNA, 1683 nt
Organism: Gasterosteus aculeatus aculeatus (three-spined stickleback)
Lineage: Eukaryota; Metazoa; Chordata; Actinopteri; Perciformes; Gasterosteidae
Source: Ensembl